This 10397-nucleotide long non-coding RNA is filed under the name Homo sapiens (human). RNAcentral describes it as "non-protein coding lnc-POTEJ-1:1". Lineage: Eukaryota; Metazoa; Chordata; Mammalia; Primates; Hominidae. The record is from RNAcentral.
CUCCAGUCCAUGCCUCGCGUCGUAUAGCACUGCGGGCUUCUUGCUUGCCUGGAGGCAGACCACAGGCCGUCUUGAGGAAGACUUUAUGUUCAAGUACAGAAAGCAGCCAGGAUUACCAUCCAGGGGGGCCUUCUGUAGCCCUGGCCAGACCUUGCAGAGGUGGCUGGUUGCUCUUUGACUCAGCUUGGCCUCCCUGGCAUGCACAGGCCCCAGGUACUAACAUGCUGCUCCGAGUGAGCUUGUCCUGCCUUGGCUGCCACCUAAUUGCUGAUGGAGCAGAAGCCUUAGGAAAAGCAGAUGGCACUGUGGCCCACCUUUAGGGUAGAAGAACUGAUGUACCAUGUCCGGCCGCUAGUGGGUGAGUGGUGCACCUGCUCCUGGCACACCCUUGCAGAGGUGGCUGGUUGCUCUUUGAGCCAGCUUGGCCUUCCCUGGCAUGCACAAGCCUCAGUGCAACAACUGUGCUACAAAUGGAGCCACAGAGAGGAAACGAGCAGCAGGGUCAGGAGCAGGGUGUGCGCUGCCUUUGGGGCUCCAGUCCAUGCCUCGGGUCGUAUAGUACUGCGGGCUUCUUGCUUGCCUAGAGGCAGACCACAGGCCGUCUUGAGGAGGACUUUAUGUUCAAGUGCAGAAAGCAGCCAGGAUUACCACCCAGGGGACUUGGCCUUCUGUGGCCCUGUCCAGACUUAGAAUUUGUGUCAAGGCAGGAGAAGCUCACUCGGAGCAGCGUGUUAGUACCUGGGGCCUGUGCAUGCCAGGCAAGGCCAAGCUGGCUCAAAGAGCAACGAGGCACCUCUGCAAGGGUGCGCCUGGACCAAUUGUACCAGCCACCAACCUCACCCACUGAAGGAAGCAGGGAUGGCCAGGUUACAACAGCCUGAGUGGCUGCCACCUGGGGGCUGAUGGAGCAGAGGCCUGAGGAAACUCAGAUGGCACAUUUAACUCUUUAAUGGAUCUUAAGUUAAUUUUUCUAUAAAGCAGAUGUCACCAGUCCAUGCCUCAGGCUUGUAUGGCACUGCGGAGCACAGAAGGGCGAGUCCCCUGGGUGGUAAUCUUGGCUGCUUUCUGCACUUGAACAUAAAGUCCUCCUCAAGACGGCCUGUGGUCUGCCUCUUGGCCCUACCUUUAGGGUAGAAGAACCGAUGUACCAUGUCCGGCGGCGAGUGAGGUUGGUGGCUGGUCCGGCUGCUCCUGGCACACCCUUGCAGAUGUGGCUGGUUGCUGUUUGAGCCAGCUUGGCCUUGCCCGGCAUGCACAAGCCUCAGUGCAACUACUCUGCUACAAAUGGAGCCACAGAGAGGGAAUGAGCAGCGGGCUCAGCAGCAGGGUGUGUGCUGCCUUUGGGGCUCCAGUCCAUGCCUCAGGGGUCAUAUGACACUGCAGGCUUCUUGGUUACCAGGAGGCACACAACAGGCCAUCUCGAGGAGGACUUUAUGUUCAAGUGCAGAAAGCAGCCAGGAUUACCAUCCAGGGGACUCGGCCUUCUGUGGCCCUGGCCAGACUCAGAAUUUGUGCCAAGGCAGGACAAGCUCACUCGGAGCAGCGUGUCAGUAGCUGGGACCUAUGCAUGCCAGACAAGGCCAAGCUGGCUCAAAGAGCAACCAGCCACCUCUGCAAGGGUGUGCCAAGAGCAGGUGGACCAGCCAGCAACCUCAGCUACUCAAGGAAGCUGGGAUGGCCAGUUUCUAACAGCAUGAGUGGCUGCCUCCUGAUGGCUGAUGGAGCAGAGGCCUUAGGAAAAGCAGAUGGCCCUAGUGGCCCUACCUUUAGGGGAGAAGUACUGAUGUGCCACAGAGAGGAAACGAGCAGCAGGCUCAGGAGCAGGCUGUGCGCUGCCUUUGGGGCUCCAGUCCAAGCCUCGAGUCGUAUAGCACUGCGGGCCUCUUGGUUGCCUAGAGGCAGAAAACAGGCCAUCUUGAGGAGGACUUUAUGUUCAAGUGCAGAAAGCAGCCAGGAUUACCAUCCAGGGGACUCGGCCUUCUGUGGCCCCGGCCAGACCUUGCAGAGGUGGCUGGUUGCUCUUUGAGCCAGCUUCACCUCCCUUGCAUGCACAGGCCCCAGGCACUAACACGCUGCUCUGAGUGAGCCUGUCCUGCCUUGGCUGCCACCUAAUUGCUGAUGGAGCAGAGGCCUUAGGAAAAGCAGAUGGCACUGUGGCCUACCUUCAGGGUAGAAGAACUGAUGUACCUUGCCCGGCAUGCACAAGUCUCAGUGCAACAACUGUGCUACAAAUGGAGCCACAGAGAGGAAAUGAGCGGCAGACUUAGGAGCAGGGUGUGUGCUGCCUUUGGGGCUCCAGUCCAUGCCUCGGGUCGUAUGGCACUGCAGGCUUCUUGGUUGCCAAGAGGCAGACCACAGGCCGUCUUGAGGAGGACUUCAUGUUCAAGUGCAGAAGGCAGCCAGGAUUACCAUCCAAGGGACUCAGCCUUCUGUGGCCCUGGCCACACUCAGAAUUUGUGCCAAGGCAGGACAAGCUCACUUGGAGCAGUGUGUCAGUAGCUGGGCCUAUGCAUGCCAGGCAAGGCCAAGCUGGCUCAAAGAGCAACCAGCCACCUCUGCAAGGGUGUGCCAGGAGCAGGUGGACCAGCCAGCAACCUCAGCUACUCAAGGAAGCUGGGAUGGCCAGGUUCCAACAGCCUGAGUGGCUGCCUCCUGAUGGCUGAUGGAGCAGAGGCCUUAGGAAAAGCAGAUGGCCCUGUGGCCCUACCUUUAGGGUAGAAGUACUGAUGUGCCAUGUCCGGUAGCAAGUGAGGUUGGUGGCUGGUGCACCGGCUCCUGGCGCACCCUUGCAGAAGUGACUGGUUGCUCUUUGAGUCAGCUUGGCCUUGCCUGGCAUGCACAAGCCUCAGUGCAACAACAGUGCUACAAAUGGAGCCAUAGAGAGGAAACGAGCAGCAAGCUCAGGAGCAGGGUGUGCGCUGCCUUUGGGGCUCCAGUCCCUGCCUUGAGUCGUAUAGCACUGCGGGCUUCUUGCUUGCCUGGAGGCAGACUACAGGCCGUCUUGAGGAAGACUUUAUGUUCAAGUACAGAAAGCAGCCAGGAUUACCAUCCAGGGGGGCCUUCUGUAGCCCUGGCCAGACCUUGCAGAGGUGGCUGGUUGCUCUUUGAGUCAGUUUGGCCUCCCUGGCAUGCACAGGCCCCAGGUACUAAGAUGCUGCUCCGAGUGAGCUUGUCCUGCCUUGGCUGCCACCUAAUUGCUGAUGGAGCAGAAGCCUUAGGAAAAGCAGAUGGCACUGUGGCCCACCUUUAGGGUAGAAGAACUGAUGUACCAUGUCCGGCCGCUAGUGGGUGAGUGGUGCACCUGCUCCUGGCACACCCUUGCAGAGGUGGCUGGUUGCUCUUUGAGCCAGCUUGGCCUUCCCUGGCAUGCACAAGCCUCAGUGCAACAACUGUGCUACAAACGGAGCCACAGAGAGGAAACGAGCAGCAGGGUCAGGAGCAGGGUGUGCGCUGCCUUUGGGGCUCCAGUCCAUGCCUCGGGUCGUAUAGUACUGCGGGCUUCUUGCUUGCCUAGAGGCAGACCACAGGCCGUCUUGAGGAGGACUUUAUGUUCAAGUGCAGAAAGCAGCCAGGAUAACCUUCCAGGGGACUUGGCCUUCUGUGACCCUGGCAGACUCAGAAUUCGUGCCAAUGCAGGACAAGCUCACUCGGAGCAGCGUGUUUGUACCUGGGGCCUAUGCAUGCCAGGCAGGUCCAAGCUGGCUCAAAGAGCAACCAGCCACCUCUGCAAAGGUGUGCCAGGAUCAGGUGGACCAGCCACCAACUUCAGCCACUGAAGGAAGCAGGGAUGGCCAGGUUCCAAGAGCCUGAGUGGCUGUCUCCUGAUGGCUGAUGGAUCAGAGGCCUUAGGAAAAGCAGAUGGCCCUGUGGCCCUACCUUUAGGGUAGAAGUACUGAUGUGCCAUGUCCGGUAGCAAGUGAGGUUGGUGGUUGGUGCAGCGGCUCCUGGCGCACCCUUGCAGAAGUGACUGGUUGCUCUUUGAGCCAGCUUGGCCUUGCCUGGCAUGCACAAGCCUCAGUGCAACAACAGUGGUACAAAUGGAGCCACAGAGAGGAAACGAGUGGCAGACUUAGGAGCAGGGUGUGCGCUGCCUUUGGGGCUCCAGUCUAUGCCUCGGGUCCUAUGGCACUGUGGGCUUCUUGGUUGCCAAGAGGCAGACCACAGGCUGUCUUGAGGAAGACUUUAUGUUGAAGUGCAGAAAGCAGCCAGGAUUACCACUCAGGGGACUCGGCCUUCUGUGGCCCUGGCCAGACUUAGAAUUUGUGCCAAGGCAGGACAAGCUCACUUGGAGCAGCGUGUUAGUACCUGGGGCCUGUGCAUGCCAGGCAAGGCCAAGCUGGCUGAAAGCAGAACCAGCCACCUCUACAAGGGUGCGCCUGGACCAGUUGGACCAGCCACCAGCUUCACCCACUGAAGGAAGCCGGGAUGGCCAGGUUCCAACAGCCUGAGUGGCUGUCUCCUGAUGGCUGAUGGAGCAGAGGCCUUAGGAAAAGCAGAUGGCCUUGUGGCCCUACCUUUAGGGUAGAAGUACUGAUGUGCCAUGUCUGGCAGCAAGUGAGGUUGGUGGCUGGUGCACCGGCUCCUGGCACACCCUUGCAGAGGUGACUGGUUGCUCUUUGAGCCAGCUUGGCCUUGCCUGGCAUGCACAAGCCUCAGUGCAACAACAGUGCUACAAAUGGAGCCACAGAGAGGAAACAAGCAGCAGGCUCAGGAGCAGGGUGUGCGCUGCCUUUGGGGCUUCAGUCCAUGCCUCAGGCGUCAUAUGGCACUGCGGGCUUCUUAGUUGCCAAGAGGCAGACCACAGGCCGUCUUGAGGAGGACUUCAUGUUCAAGUGCAGAAAGUAGCCAGGAUUAGCAUCUAGGGGACUCGGCCUUCUGUGGCCCUGGCCAGACUUAGAAUUUGUGUCAAGGCAGGACAAGCUCACUCGGAGCAGCAUGUUGCUACCUGGGGCCUGUGCAUGCCAGGCAAGGCCAAGCUGGCUCAAAGAGCAACCAGUCACCUCUGCAAGGGUGCGCCUGUGGUCUGGAUGGUGGUGGCUCCCUGUGUUAGUCCUCCAAGCCCAUAUUUUCCUUCUGCACUGGCCUCACAGAGGUUUCCGAAGAAGCUCUGCCUCUGCAGCAUGCUUCUGCCUGGAAACAAUGGGAGGUAGUUUUGCAGGGUGGAAGCCUUCACCAAUGGUUAAACAGCAUCUUCAUGAUGCUGACCUCGUGAUAGUGAGUUCUCAUGAGAUCUGCUUGUAUAACAUGAUGUGGCACUUCUUUCCUCUCUCUGUCUUGCUCCUUCUCCUGCUGUAUGAAACAUCUCCUUGCCGCUUGGUCUUCUAGUAUGAUUGGGAGCACCUGAGUCCUCCCAGAAGCAGAAACCACUAUGCUUCCUUUGCAGCCUGCAGAACUGUGAGCCAAUGAAACCUCUUUUCUUUUUGAUCAUACAGAAGGUUAGUACUGUGAAGUGAAGCUAUGAAAUUCCUUCAAGGCCUUUUCCCUAUGAAAUGCCUUCAAGGCCUUUUCCCCAUUGUCUUGGCAAGCAGCACUCAGCUUCUUUUCAUGCAAAUAUCUGAAGCCUAUGUGAUUUUUUUCCCUGAAAAUGGACUUUUCUUCUUUUACCACAUUGCCAGGCUGUGACACAGAGAGCUGAUAAUGUAGAAGCAGGUUCAGUAGUGGGUAAAAGACAGAGGUCGGGAGAGUUGGGAAAGCUUAAAAGACAGCAAGAUGAGGAAAAGCUUGGACCACUGUAGAGAAUUGUUAAAUACUUGUGAUCAGAAGGCUGACAGAAGGAUGGACAGUGAAGGCCAGACUUAAAAGUUCUCGGAUGAAAACCAGGAAUUUCCUGUGAAUAGGAGCCAAUACUACAUUUGAUUUGCCCAACAGAGGCUGCACAGUGACCUUGCCCUGGAGAUCUGUGAAACUAUGAACUUGGGGGUGAUGAUUUAGGAUGUAUCUUGUGGAAUGAACAUCUGAGCAGCAUAGCUCAAGAGGUGUCCUGUCUGCGUCGAACAGCCUGUGUUGUUAUGUAUGAGCUAAGAAAUGACCUCAAAUUGGAACUUCUACUUAAAUGAGAAGCAGAGCUCAAAAGUUUGGAAAAUUUGCAGCCUAGUCAAGUGGUCAAAAAGAAAAGCUGAUUUUCAGGGGGAAAAUUCAAUACGGCUUAGAGUAUUUGCAUAAAAAGGAGCUUAGUGCAAGUAUCCAAGACAAAGGGUAAAAGGCCUUGGAGGCAUUUCAGAGACCUUUGCAGUAGCUCUUGCUCUCACAGGCCCUGGGGCCUAGCAGAGAAGAAUGGCUUCCUGGGCCAGCUCCAUGGCCCUGCUGCUGUGUGCAUCCUCAGGACACUGCUGCCUGCAUCCCUGCAGCCCCAGCUCCAGCCAUGGCUGAAUGAUGCACAGGUACAGCUUGGGUCACUACUUCAGAUGUGGCUCCAAGCCUUGAUGGCUUCCACAUAGUGUUAAGGCAGCAGGUGAAGAGAGCAAGAGACUAGAGGCUUUGGAGCCUCUUGUCUGGACUCCAGAGGAUGUAGAGAAAAGCCUGGGUGUCCAGGCAGUAGCCUUUCCAAGAGGCUCAUGGAAAACCUCUGCUAGGGCAGCAAAGAAGGGCCAUGUAGGGUUGAAGCCCCCUCACAGGGAGGCUCCAUUCUCCAAACCCCAGAUUCAUAGACCCACCAACAUCUUGCACCCUCAGUGUGGAAAAGCUACAGGCAUUCAAAACAGCCCUGUCCAUGAGAGGCAGCUGUGGGUGCUGAACGCUGCGAAGCCACAGGUACAGAUCUGCCCAAGGCCUUGGGAGCCCAGCCCUCACAGCCCUGUGCCAUGGAUGUGGGACGAGGAUUCAAAAAGGAUGAUUUUGGAGCUGUCGGAUUGAAUGACUGGCCUGCUGGGUUUUGGAUGUUCAUGUAUCCUGUGAGUCCCAUCUGUGUUUUGUUUUUCUUUCUGGCAUUUUUUUUCUACUGGCUGGGAAUGCUUACCCAUUGCCUGUACAAUCAUUGUGCCUUGGAAUUAGUUAACUUGCUUUAUAAUUCAGAAACUCAGGGGCAGAUCGGACUGUAGCCUUGUCUCAGACGAGACUUUGGGCUUUGGACAUUUGAGUAAAUGCUGGAAUUAUUUAAGAUUUGGGGGACUGUAGGGAAGGUAUCAUUGUAUUCUGCAAUGUAAGAAACAGGAGAUUUGGGGGACCAGGGACAGAAUAAUAUGAUUUGGCUCUGUGUCCCUACCAAAGCUCAUGUGGAAUUGUAAUGGGCAAAGUUAAAGGUGGGGACUGGUGGAAGGUGAUUUAAUCAUGGUGGAGAGUGGAGUUUGGAAGGUGGGGGUGGUUGGGAGCAUUGGGGGUGAUUGUGUUGGGGUUGCAGGGAAAGGCAGAGGUGGGGGGCAGAUUCUUCACAAAUGGUUAAACACCAUCUUUGUAAUGCUGUCCUUCUGAUAGUGAGUUUGCUUCAUGGUUUAGGAGCUUUGAGAUUUGAAUACUGGCCUGCUGGGUUUUGGAUGUGCAUUGGGCCUGUGGUCCCAUUUGUGUUAUUUUUCUGGGAAAUUUCUUCCCUUUGGAGUGAGAAAGCUUACCCAAUGCCUGUACCAUCAUCGUACCUUAAAAGAACUCCAUUUUAAGUUCAGGGACUCCUUGGCAGAAGAGACCGUAGCCUUGUAUCAGAUAAGACUUUGAACUUCUUACAUUUGAGUUAAUGCUGGAAUGAGUUAAGGCUUUUGUAAACAUUUGAAAAGGCAUGACUGUAUUUUACUCUGUGAGAAUGACAUGAGAUUCGGGGGAGGGGGUCAAGGUCAGAAUAAUAUGGUUUGGCUGUGUUUCCCUAGAAAAACUCAUGUGGAAUUGCAAUCCCGAAUGUUGGAGGUGGAGCCUGGUGGGAGGUGAUUUAAUCAUGGAUGGGAGGUGGGUGGGGUUGGAGGGAAAAAGAGGUGGGUAGCGUGGUGAGGAGUAAGCUCGCUGUAGGGUGGUGGGAGGGUGGGGGUAGUAGGAAGGAGGAGUAGCCUGCUGCAGAGGCAGAGGCUCGUAGAAAACCUCUGCUAGGACUGUGCACCUGUGGCUUUGCAGGGUGUAGCCCCCGUGGCUGCUCUCAUGGGCUGGGCUGGUGUUGAGUGCCGGUAGCUUUUCCAUACUGAAGGUGCGAGCUGUUGAUGGGUCUAUGAAUCUGGGCUCUGGAGGAUGGUGACCUCCUGCAUAGGGGCUCCAAGCCCAAAUUUUUCUUCUGCACUGCCAUAGUACAGGUUUUCCAAGAGGCUCAGGCUCUGCCUCAGGCUUCUGUCCGGAAACAGGAGGGGGUGGAGGUGGGUUGGGGACGGAUCCUUCACUAAUGAUUAAGCACCAUCUUCUUGAUGCUGACCUCGUGAUAGUGAGUUCUCAUGAACUUCCUCAUAGUGUUAAGCCACUGGUUGGAUGGAGCAUGAGCCUAGGGGCUUGGGAGGCUCUGUAUAGAUUUUGGAGGAUGUAUGGAAAUGUCUGGGUGUCUAGGCAAAAGCCUUCCUAAAAGGCAGAACCUCAUAAGAAACCUCUACUAGGGCAGUGCAGAAGGAAAAUAUGGGGUUGGAGCCCCCACACUGGAGGCCACCAUCAUGAAGACCGCAGAUUAAUAGACCCCGCAACAGCUUGUACCGUCAGUGGGUAAAAGCUACAGGCGCUCAACACCAGCCCAGCCCAUGAAGACAGCCGUGGGGUAUAAACCCUGCAAAGCCACAGGUGCAGAGCUGCCCAAGGCCUUGGGAGCCCAGCCCUUACAUCCCUGUGCCCUGGAUGUGGGACAAGGUUUCAAAAAGGGUAAUUUUGGAGCUGUAGGAUUGAAUGACUGGCCUUCUGGGUUUGGAGUUUCAUGGGGCCUGUGAGUCCUUUCUGUGUUUUGUUCUUUCUGGCAAAAUUAUUCCUUUUGGCUGGGAAUGCUUACCCAUUGCCUGUAUAAGCAUUGUACCUUGGAAGUAGUUAACUUUCUUUAUAUUUCAGAGGCUCAUGAGCCUAAGGGUCUGCAGCCUUGUGUUAGAUGAGACUUUAAGCUUUGAACAUUUGUAUAAAUGAUGAAAUGAUAUAAGACUUUGGGGGACUGUAGGGAAGCUAUCAUUGUAGUUUGCAAUGUGAGAAGGACAUGAGAUUUGGGGAGCCAGGGAGAGAAUAAUAAAAUUUAGCUCUGUGUCCCUACCAAAAUUCGUGUGGAAUUGUAAUGGGGAAUGUUAAAGGUGGGGCCUGGUGGAAGGUGAUUUAAUCAUGGUGGAGAGUGGGGGUUGGGAGGUGGGGGAUAGGGAGAAUGGGGAGAUUAUGUUGGGGGUGAGGGGUGAAAAGUGAUGGUGGCUCCUUCACAAAUGAUUAGACACAAUCUCCUUAUUUCUGUCCUUGUGAUGGUGAGUUCUCUUCAUGAUUUUGGAGCAGUGAGAUUGAAUGGAUACUGGUCUCCUGGGUUUUGGACUUGCAUUGGUCCUGUGGUCCCAUCUGUGUUAUUUUGCUGGGAAAUUUCUUCCCGUUGGACUGAGAAAGCUUACCCAAUGGGUGUACCAUCAUUGUGUCUUAAAAGAACACCCUUUUAAAUUCAGGGACUUAUAGGCAAAAGGGACUGUAGGCUUGUCUCAGAUGAGACGUUGAACCUUUUACAUUUGAGUUAAUGCUGGAAUGAGUUAAGACUUUUGGCAACUUUUGAAAAGGUGUGAUUGUAUUUUGCUCUGUGAGAAGGACAUGAGAUUCGGAGGGGUCAGGGUCAGAAUAACAUGGUUUGGCUGUGUUUCCCUACAGAAACUCAUGUGAAUUGUAAUCUUGAAUGUUGGAGAUGGGGCCUGGUGGAAGGUGAUUUAACCAUGGAUGGGAGGGGGUUGGAAUUGGAAGGAAAUAAAGUGGAUAGUGUUGGGAGGAGUGGGUUGUCAGUAGGGUGGUGAGAGGAUGGUGGGUAUUAGGAAGCGGGAGUAGCCUGCUGCAGAGUCACAUCCUUAUGGAAAACCUCUGCUAGGGCAGUGCUCCUGUGGCUUUGCAGGCUUUAGCCCCCAUGGCUGCUCUCAUGGGCUGGGCUGGUGUUGAGUGCUUUUGCAUACUGAGGGUGCGGGCUGUUGGUGGGCUUAUGAAUCUGGGGUCUGGAGGAUGGUGGCCUCCUGUGUGGGGGCUCCAAGCCCAUAUUUCCCUUCUGCACUGCCAUAGUAGAAGUUUCCCAAGAGGCUCUGCCUCUGCAGGAGGCUUCUGCCUGGAAACAGUAGGCGGUGGUGUGUGUGGUGGAUCCUUCACCAGUGGUUAAUCUUCUUGAUGCUGAUCUGAUAUCCCAUCAGGGCCCUGGAUCCCAAGACUCAGCAUCCAAGGUCCCCUCCAGGAAUCCUGGCAGCUCAGCAUACUUUAUUCUGUUUCAUCUGAGAGCAAAAAUGUAAAAUUGGAUGCACAGAAAAGUGACUCAAAGUGCUUAAUGACUAGAAGAAAUCUAGGAGCAGCAAGAAGGUAAU